This is a non-coding RNA of Sphaerobolus stellatus SS14, 73 nucleotides long. The record is from the annotation of a GenBank genome assembly. NCBI's taxonomy places the organism in Eukaryota, Fungi, Basidiomycota, Agaricomycetes, Geastrales, Sphaerobolaceae.
GGUUUAGUAGCUCGGUCGGUGAAAUGUCUGCUUAACAUGCAGAAGGUCGUCGGUUCAAGUCCGGUUCAGAUCA